This 23-nucleotide non-coding RNA is filed under the name Arabidopsis thaliana (thale cress). Lineage: Eukaryota; Viridiplantae; Streptophyta; Magnoliopsida; Brassicales; Brassicaceae. The record is from RNAcentral.
AGUGAUUGUGUUUCGACUGUUGC